CUCAUUUUAACGUUAUGCUUUUCACAUAAUUUCUGAUACGUGCUCUGGUUCAUAGCUAUUGUCCUGGGAGUAUUCUUAAUAGUGCCAUCUUCGAUAUUCAAGUGUAUUUAGUGUGGACGGCAAAUUAUAUGGCCUUCUGUCUAUGGUUUGUCUCAUUCGUUACCUUUCUUUCAGCAACCUCUUUUCUCCUUCUAGCCCCCUUACCUGGUCAAGUGUCAUCUGUGCAUCAAUGCAAGUCUUCUCUACUCCAAACCCAGGCUCCCACCUGCUGCCGGAGGAAACCCCAGUGCCACACGGGGUGGCGCCACUUGCGUUGACAGCAUUCUCGAGUUUUCUGAUUGUGACAUUCAUUCAUAGACCUUCCUGUCCGGCCAAUCUCUGAAUCAACUGGUAAGUCUCAACUUGAGCAUCACACCAUCUGAGGAGAGUUUCCUUGUCUGCCUCAUACACAACCUACUUAGGCACAUCAGCAGAUCCAGGUAAUUUCAUCAGUCAUCAUCCACAGAACCCUGACCUUUCGUUACUAUCGGACUUAGC
Molecule: long non-coding RNA, 537 nt
Filed under: Felis catus (domestic cat)
Lineage: Eukaryota; Metazoa; Chordata; Mammalia; Carnivora; Felidae
Description: lncRNA (ENSFCAG00000047026.1)
Source: RNAcentral